This 224-nucleotide ribosomal RNA is filed under the name uncultured bacterium. RNAcentral's name for it is "partial 16S ribosomal RNA". It matches the Rfam family "Bacterial small subunit ribosomal RNA", at positions 32 to 237 of the family's 1533-position model. The record is from RNAcentral.
AAUCAACGCUGGCGGCGUGCCUCAGACAUGCAAGUCGAACGAGAAGGCUCCUUCGGGAGCCGGAAAGUGGCGCACGGGUGAGUAACACGUGGGUAAUUUACCUUCGGGUGGGGAACGAACAGCCGGAAACGGCUGCUAAUACCGCAUAAUGCAGCGGCACCUAAUGGUGACAGUUGUUAAAGCGGGGGAGUCGCAAGACCUCGCGCCUGAAGAGAAGCCGCGGC